This 432-nucleotide ribosomal RNA is filed under the name uncultured bacterium. RNAcentral describes it as "partial 16S ribosomal RNA". It matches the Rfam family "Bacterial small subunit ribosomal RNA", at positions 28 to 507 of the family's 1533-position model. The record is from RNAcentral.
GAUGAACGCUGGCGGUAUGCUUAACACAUGCAAGUCGAACGGUACCUUCGGGUAUAGUGGCGGACGGGUGAGUAACGCGUGAGAAUCUAUCUUCAGGUCGGGGACAACAGUUAGAGAUGACUGCUAAUACCGGAUGUGCCGAAAGGUAAAAGAUUUAUUGCCUGAAAAAGAGCUCGCGUCAGAUUAGCUAGUAGGUGGUGUAAGAGACUACCUAGGCUUCGAUCUGUAGCUGGUCUGAGAGGACGAUCAGCCACACUGGAACUGAGACACGGUCCAGACUCCUACGGGAGGCAGCAGUGGGGAAUUUUCCGCAAUGGGCGAAAGCCUGACGGAGCAAUACCGCGUGAGGGACGAAGGCUCUUGGGUCGUAAACCUCUUUUCUCAAGGAAGAUUCAGACGGUACUUGAGGAAUAAGCAUCGGCUAACUCUGUG